RNAcentral lists this long non-coding RNA (657 nucleotides) under Gossypium raimondii (Peruvian cotton). Its description in RNAcentral is "long non-coding RNA (GRAI_LNC009933)". Lineage: Eukaryota; Viridiplantae; Streptophyta; Magnoliopsida; Malvales; Malvaceae. The record is from RNAcentral.
CCCGUGUAGCUCGAUUUCAUUCGUGAAUUGUAAUUAGCCUCUUCGUAAGGUUCAUACCAAUUAAAUAUGACUUGAAAAAAGGUAUCUGUUAACAUGCUUUUGUAUGGGUUACGUUUUAAGUGGGUGAUUCAUAUAUGUAUGAUCCGUGUUUUGUUAAUUUUGAUGGUAUGUUUACGUGUUACUAUGUUUGGAUGUGAGCAUGUGAUGUCAUAAUAUGUUAAUUUGUUUAUCUCUAAAUCUGUUAUAUAACCAUGCAUAUGACUUCAUGGAAAAACUGCUGUAUUUUAAUAAGUUUUGAUAAAUCUGUUCUACAAAGUGUAGGCUCACAUGCCUUCUGUUUUCUGUUAUUGUAUGUCAGCAUGUCCUACAUACUUAUCAUUCUAAUUAUGUAUAUGUAUUCCAUGACACGGUGCAUGGGGUUUGGGUUUUAAUAUGUUGGAGGAAGUGUAUCCUGGCUAUAUUGCUGCAAAUUCUGGCGGUUAAACCGUAAUAUCUGUCUGGCAGCUCAGCUAUACCAUUAUGAGUGGCAUACCACCACGACCUAGUGUGAUUGGAUGGAUGGACUCUUGUAGUCCUAAUCGGUGUGAUUGGUUGGACAGAGUUGGUGUGUAGCGGAUAGGGAUAGGAUCUGUGUCUGCAUUUGUAUCUAAAUCUAAA